This 1372-nucleotide ribosomal RNA is filed under the name uncultured bacterium. Its description in RNAcentral is "bacterial SSU rRNA". It matches the Rfam family "Bacterial small subunit ribosomal RNA", at positions 28 to 1381 of the family's 1533-position model. The record is from RNAcentral.
GAUGAACGCUGGCGGCGUGCCUAAUACAUGCAAGUCGAGCGACCGGACGAGAAGCUUGCUUCUCUGAUGUUAGCGGCGGACGGGUGAGUAACACGUGGAUAACCUACCUAUAAGACUGGGAUAACUUCGGGAAACCGGAGCUAAUACCGGAUAAUAUUUUGAACCGCAUGGUUCAAAAGUGAAAGACGGUCUUGCUGUCACUUAUAGAUGGAUCCGCGCUGCAUUAGCUAGUUGGUAAGGUAACGGCUUACCAAGGCAACGAUGCAUAGCCGACCUGAGAGGGUGAUCGGCCACACUGGAACUGAGACACGGUCCAGACUCCUACGGGAGGCAGCAGUAGGGAAUCUUCCGCAAUGGGCGAAAGCCUGACGGAGCAACGCCGCGUGAGUGAUGAAGGUCUUCGGAUCGUAAAACUCUGUUAUUAGGGAAGAACAUAUGUGUAAGUAACUGUGCACAUCUUGACGGUACCUAAUCAGAAAGCCACGGCUAACUACGUGCCAGCAGCCGCGGUAAUACGUAGGUGGCAAGCGUUAUCCGGAAUUAUUGGACGUAAAGCGCGCGUAGGCGGUUUUUUAAGUCUGAUGUGAAAGCCCACGGCUCAACCGUGGAGGGUCAUUGGAAACUGGAAAACUUGAGUGCAGAAGAGGAAAGUGGAAUUCCAUGUGUAGCGGUGAAAUGCGCAGAGAUAUGGAGGAACACCAGUGGCGAAGGCGACUUUCUGGUCUGUAACUGACGCUGAUGUGCGAAAGCGUGGGGAUCAAACAGGAUUAGAUACCCUGGUAGUCCACGCCGUAAACGAUGAGUGCUAAGUGUUAGGGGGUUUCCGCCCCUUAGUGCUGCAGCUAACGCAUUAAGCACUCCGCCUGGGGAGUACGACCGCAAGGUUGAAACUCAAAGGAAUUGACGGGGACCCGCACAAGCGGUGGAGCAUGUGGUUUAAUUCGAAGCAACGCGAAGAACCUUACCAAAUCUUGACAUCCUUUGACAACUCUAGAGAUAGAGCUUUCCCCUUCGGGGGACAAAGUGACAGGUGGUGCAUGGUUGUCGUCAGCUCGUGUCGUGAGAUGUUGGGUUAAGUCCCGCAACGAGCGCAACCCUUAAGCUUAGUUGCCAUCAUUAAGUUGGGCACUCUAAGUUGACUGCCGGUGACAAACCGGAGGAAGGUGGGGAUGACGUCAAAUCAUCAUGCCCCUUAUGAUUUGGGCUACACACGUGCUACAAUGGACAAUACAAAGGGCAGCGAAACCGCGAGGUCAAGCAAAUCCCAUAAAGUUGUUCUCAGUUCGGAUUGUGGUCUGCAACUCGACUACAUGAAGCUGGAAUCGCUAGUAAUCGUAGAUCAGCAUGCUACGGUGAAUACGUUCCCGGGUCU